CUUUCUGUGAUGAUUGAAACAGAGACUUUCGUUCUUCUGACUAAAAGCUGAAGCCAGUCUUACUGUCCUGAGAAAG
Molecule: small nucleolar RNA, 76 nt
Organism: Megalops cyprinoides (Indo-Pacific tarpon)
Lineage: Eukaryota; Metazoa; Chordata; Actinopteri; Elopiformes; Megalopidae
Product: small nucleolar RNA SNORD59
Exons: 1
Source: RefSeq, a predicted model, not a curated record